Molecule: long non-coding RNA, 387 nt
Organism: Carassius auratus (goldfish)
Lineage: Eukaryota; Metazoa; Chordata; Actinopteri; Cypriniformes; Cyprinidae
Exons: 4
Source: RefSeq, a predicted model, not a curated record
CGUCACUGUGUCAUGUCGACGGGCAGCGUGCGCCAUCUUGAAACGAAACCAAAUCACGGGCUGAUCCCGCUCGCCUCCGCUCACUCUCAUUCCGCGCUCAUUCGCACUGUCCGCCCGGCUGUGGUCCAGGAUUAGCCGCGCUGAAGGCUCGAGGAACAGGCGCAGGCGAUGAUGGCAGGGGCUGGUGGAGGCAAUGAUUUCCAGUGGUGCUUCUCCCAGGUCAAAGGAGCCGUAGAUGAAGAUGUGGCAGAAGCGGACAUUAUCUCAACGGUUGAAUUUAACUAUUCGGGGGAGUUAUUAGCCACAGGAGACAAAGGGGGAAGAGUUGUCAUAUUUCAGCGAGAACAGGAGAGUAAAAACCGCCUGCUCUCAAGAGGGAAUACAACG